Molecule: long non-coding RNA, 2410 nt
Organism: Oncorhynchus keta (chum salmon)
Lineage: Eukaryota; Metazoa; Chordata; Actinopteri; Salmoniformes; Salmonidae
Exons: 3
Source: RefSeq, a predicted model, not a curated record
UUGAACACACCGUGUAAACAUUCACAGUGCAGGGUGGGAAAAGUAUGUGAACCCUUGGAUUUAAUAACUGGUUGACCCUCUUUUGGCAGCAAUGACCUCAACCAAACGUUUUCUGUCGUUGAGGAUCAGACCUGCACAACGGGGGCAGGAGGAAUUUUGGAUUUUUUCUUCUGAGCAAAACUGUUCCAGUUCAGCAAUACUCUUGGGAUGUCCGGUGUGAACUGCUCUUAAGGUCAAUACUCUUGGGAUGUCUGGUGUGAACUGCUCUUGAGGUCAAUACUCUUGGGAUGUCCGGUUGAACUGCUCUUGAGGUCAAUACUCUUGGGAUGUCCCGUGUGAACUGCUCUUGAGGUCAAUACUCUCGGGAUGUCUGGUGUGAACUGCUCUUGAGGUCAAUACUCUUGGGAUGUCUGGUGUGAACUGCUCUUGAGGUCAAUACUCUUGGGAAGUCUGGUGUGAACUGCUCUUGAGGUCAAUACUCUUGGGAUGUCUGGUGUGAACUGCUCUUGAGGUCAAUACUCUUGGGAUGUCCGGUGUGAACUGCUCUUAAGGUCAAUACUCUUGGGAUGUCCGGUGUGAACUGCUCUUAAGGUCAAUACUCUUGGGAUGUCUGGUGUGAACUGCUCUUGAGGUCAAUACUCUUGGGAUGUCCGGUGUGAACUGCUCUUGAGGUCAAUACUCUUGGGAUGUCUGGUGUGAACUGCUCUUGAGGUCAAUACUCUUGGGAUGUCUGGUGUGAACUGCUCUUGAGGUCAAUACUCUUGGGAUGUCCGGUGUGAACUGCUCUUGAGGUCAAUACUCUUGGGAUGUCCGGUGUGAACUGCUCUUAAGGUCAAUACUCUUGGGAUUUCCGGUGUGAACUGCUCUUGAGGUCAAUACUCUUGGGAUGUCUGGUGUGAACUGCUCUUGAGGUCAAUACUCUUGGGAUGUCUGGUGUGAACUGCUCUUGAGGUCAAUACUCUUGGGAUGUCUGGUGUGAACUGCUCUUGAGGUCAAUACUCUUGGGAUGUCCGGUGUGAACUGCUCUUGAGGUCAAUACUCUUGGGAUGUCUGGUGUGAACUGCUCUUGAGGUCAUGCAACAGCAUCUCAAAUCGGGUUGAGGUCAGGACUAGGCGACUCCAGGAGGCGUAUUUUCUUCUGUUGAAGUCAUUCUGUUGUUGAUUUACUUCUUCUUCUGUGGUGUUUUGGGUCGUUGUAAUGUUGCGUCACCAAACUUCUGGGUGAUGUCCUGUUGAGCUUCACUUGGCGGACAGAUGACAAAGAGCAAAUAAAAGUAGCAUUUUCAGAGAAAGAAGCAUCAUUACUGGCACAAAAUACAACAAGUUGGGUACUUUACAAGUGACGUUGCUUGUUUUUUCGCAUGUCUACGAUAAACCAUCCCUUUUUUCAAUGCCAAAGUUGUCCAUUUACAAAAAAUAUAAAUUCUAUGUGCAACUUGCCCACAAAAUAUGAGCCUUAAAAAUACUUAAUUUCAUGCAAAUAUAUGAACAUAAAAUAAGAUUACAUUCUCCUGCAAAAUGUCUUGAUAAACUUGGGAUAUCUGUCGAUGAUAGCAAGCUGCCCUGAGGCAGGAAACAGUGAUGCUCCCUCCACCAUACUUCCUGCCCUGAGGCAGGAAACAGUGAUGCUCCCUCCACCAUACUUCCUGCCCUGAGGCAGGAAACAGUGAUGCUCCCUCCACCAUACUUCCUGCCCUGAGGCAGGAAACAGUGAUGCUCCCUCCACCAUACUUCCUGCCCUGAGGCAGGAAACAGUGAUGCUCCCUCCACCAUACUUGACUUUUUUUUUUCUCAACCCAUAGUGUUGUGUGUUCCUUCCAAACAACUCAACUGUAGUUUCAUCUGUCCACUGAAUAUUUUGCCAGAAACGCUGUGGAACAUCCACUAUUGCAAACUUCAGACGUGCAGCAAUGGGUUUUUUUGGACAGCAGUGGCUUCUUCCGUGGUGUCCUCCAAUGAACACUACUCUUGUUUAGUGUUUUACGUAUCGUAGACUCGUCAACAGAGAUGUUAGCAUGUUCCAGAGAUUUCUGUAAGUCUUUAGCUGACACUCUAAGAUUCAUUGAGCAUUCUGCACUGUGCUCUUGCAGUCGUCUUUGCAGGACGGCCACUCCUAGGGAGAGUAGCAACAGUGCUGAACUUUCUCCAUUUAUAGACAAUUUGUCUUAUUGUGGACUGAUGAAAAUCAAGGCUUUUAGAGAUACUUGAACCCUUUCCAGCUUUAUGCAAGUCAUCAAUAAGCGUAGGUCUUCUGAGGUCUCUUUUGUUUGAGGCAUGGUUCACAUCAGGAAAUGUUUCUUGUGAACAGCAAACUAACAUUUUGUGAGUGUUUUUUAUAUUGCAGGGCAGCUCUAACCAACAUCUCCAAUCUCGUCUCAUUGAUUGGACUCCAGGUUAGCUGACUCCUGAC